Molecule: microRNA precursor, 77 nt
Organism: Homo sapiens (human)
Lineage: Eukaryota; Metazoa; Chordata; Mammalia; Primates; Hominidae
Gene: MIR596
Product: microRNA 596
Source: Ensembl
AGCACGGCCUCUCCGAAGCCUGCCCGGCUCCUCGGGAACCUGCCUCCCGCAUGGCAGCUGCUGCCCUUCGGAGGCCG